GAGAACCUGCGCUGAGGCUGCCCCACAGGGCGCAGGCCCCGACCCUCAGCGUCCACCGUCUGCUGCCUACAUCCGCCCGCCCGGCGUCCGACCCCUUCAGCGGCGACGGGCGGAGCUGGAGCCCCGGGCUCGGACGCCAGGUGGGCUCCUGGGAGGGUGAUGAAGCAGGCCCUGGUGGACGAUACCGAGGAUGUGUCCCUGGACUUUGGAAACGAGGAGGAGCUGGCCUUUAGGAAAGCCAAGAUCAGACACCCCUUGGCCACCUUUUUCCACCUGUUUUUCCGAGUGAGUGCCAUCGUCACCUACGUGAGCUGCGACUGGUUCAGCAAGAGCUUUGUGGGCUGUUUUGUCACGGUGCUGCUCCUCCUGUCCCUGGACUUCUGGUCUGUGAAGAAUGUAACCGGAAGACUCCUGGUGGGCCUUCGAUGGUGGAACCAGAUAGAUGAAGAUGGGAAGAGCCACUGGAUCUUUGAAGCCAGGAAGGUCUCUCCGAAUAGCAUUGCUGCCACAGAAGCUGAAGCACGAAUCUUCUGGCUGGGCCUCAUAAUCUGCCCCAUGAUAUGGAUUGUGUUUUUUUUUAGCACCUUAUUUUCCUUGAAGCUAAAAUGGCUGGCUCUGGUGGUUGCUGGGAUCUCUCUCCAAGCUGCAAACCUGUAUGGCUACAUCCUUUGUAAGAUGGGAGGCAACAGUGACAUUAGCAAGGUCACAGCCACUUUCCUGUCCCAGACAGUGUUCCAGACGAUGUUUCCCCUGACAAACGUCCUGCCCACCAAUCCCAUCUCGGCAGAGCUGAACUGUGGCAGAGGUGCAGGCUGGCAGGAAUGGAUGUGCCCUGGGCUGCUGCAAGCUCCUGUCCCCAGUCACAUCCAUUCAUGCAGCCCAACUGCCUCCAGGGGCCUCAGAGGGCAGCUCUCAUCACCACUUCCGGCCACUGCAAAAGCUGCCUGGCUGGUCCCGAACUCGUGGGCUCAAGUGAUCCUCCCAUCUCAGCCUCCCAAAGUCCUGGGAUUACAGGUGUGAAUCACUGUGCUGGCUGAAGUUUUUAACAAGAGGUUUCUGCAGAUCCACAUCGGAUGCAGCUGCGGAACACACACUGGGAAGAGCCUUGGUGAGACCAGAGUAUCACAGCCAGGCUGGAGUGCAGUGGCAUGAUCUUGGCUCACUGCAACCUCCGCCUCCUGGGUUCUCCUGCCUCAGCCUCUCGAGUAGCUGGGAUUACAGGUACGUGCCACCAUGCUCGGCUAAUUUUUUAUGUUUUUGGUAGAGACAGGGUUUCACCAUGUCGGCGAGGCUGGUCUUGAACUCCUGACCUCAGGUGAUCCAUCUGCCUCGGCCUCCCAAAGUGCUGGGAUUACAGGCGUGAGCUACCACACCCGACCAGGGUUCUACAGCUUUUAAGGAGAGAAAAACUCACAGCAGAUAUUUAUAAUUAUGUAAUGGAAACUGGUAUUUCUAUUAGCUCUUUUCAACCAGUGAAGAAAGAGGCACUGGAUGGUUAAAAAUAAUACACUGCGAAGUCCAGCAGGCUGAGACUGGCAGGACAGGGAGCAGAUAAAGCCAAGAGCCACAACGCUCGUGGAAGAAUGUGAGAGACAAAAAAAGGCAGAGUGGCAAACCGUUUUUCUUGGGUCCCCUCCAGAUGACAGCAUCAUCAGGACUGCUGAGCAGGAAGCCCACUGACAUCACCCCCAGGUUGUCUUCCACGUACUGCAGAGGGAACAGGGUGAGGGCAAGACACGCUUUACUCAAAACCACACAGUGAGGCCCUCCCCCAGGUCUUCUGUUUGAGCUCUGACUGGAAAAAACAUUUUCAGGACAAAACUACCAUGUGACCUAUGAGCAUAUUCACUCUUUGCUCCUAAAUCAUUUUUGGAAAAAAAAAAAAGGGUACCAUGUUGGGGGAUUUGAAAGAGGCACUGUAUGUCCAUGGGCUGCAGUGACAGCAAUGACAGGGAACUCAGCUAAAAUAAGUAAAUGUCAUCUCCUUAACUCUUUUAUUUUUUUAUUUUUCAUUUUUUUGAGAUGAAGUCUGGCUCUGUUGCCCAGGCUGGAGUGCAUGGUGCAAUCUCAGCUUGCUGCAGCCUCUGCCUCCCGGGUUCAAGCAAUUCUCCUGCCUCAGCCUCCCGAGUAGCCAGUGUUACAGGCGUGUGCCACCAUGCUCGGCUAAUUUUUGUAUCUUUAGUAGAGAUGGGAUUUCGCCAUGUUGGCCAGGCUGGUCUCGAACUCCUGGCCUCAAGUGAUCUGCCUGGCUUGGCCCCCUAAAGUGCUGGGAUCACAGGUGUGAGCCACUGCACCCUGCCUCCUUAACUCUCUUAACCAGAGAUUUACAAACUAUGGCCUUCAGGGCCAAAUCUGGCCCACCAUCUGUGUUUGUAAAUAAACUUUUAUUGGAAUACUG
Pan troglodytes (chimpanzee) is the source of this 2398-nucleotide RNA transcript. It is a transcript of the gene named trans-golgi network vesicle protein 23 homolog A, with no coding region annotated. Lineage: Eukaryota; Metazoa; Chordata; Mammalia; Primates; Hominidae. The transcript has 9 exons. The record is from RefSeq and is a predicted model, not a curated record.